Molecule: ribosomal RNA, 433 nt
Filed under: uncultured eukaryote
Lineage: Eukaryota
Description: bacterial SSU rRNA
Rfam family: Eukaryotic small subunit ribosomal RNA
Source: RNAcentral
CCUGACGGUAGUCGUAUGCUCGUCUCCGAGACUAAGCCAUGCAAGUCCAAGUACACGUCCUUGAACGACGGAAACUGCGAACGGCUCAUUAAAUCAGUUGCGAUCUACUCGGCGUUCCGCGCCGCCGGAUAACCGUAGUAAUUCUAGGGCUAAUACGUGCGAAGCGCCCCGAAGCCGCGAGGCGACGGGCGUUCUCGCCGGAUGUAGGAACCGACCCGGGGACCGCCGGGGCAACCCGGCGCCCCCGAGACGGGGCGAACCACGGUGAAAUGACGGGAUCGUCGGCCCCGCGCCGGCGACUCGCCGAAUGAGUUUCUGACCUAUCAACUCGUAGACGGCGGGGGUAGAGGCCCGCCGCGGUAACGACGGGGUAACGGGGAAUCAGGGUUCGAUUCCGGAGAGGGAGCCCGAGAAACGGCUACCACUUCCAAGG